Molecule: ribosomal RNA, 421 nt
Filed under: uncultured bacterium
Lineage: Bacteria
Description: bacterial SSU rRNA
Rfam family: Bacterial small subunit ribosomal RNA
Source: RNAcentral
UGAGGAAUAUUGGACAAUGGAUGGAAAUCUGAUCCAGCCAUGCCGCGUGCAGGAAGACGGCCCUAUGGGUUGUAAACUGCUUUUGUAUGGGAGCAAUAAGGACUACGUGUAGUUUGCUGAGAGUACCAUACGAAUAAGCAUCGGCUAACUCCGUGCCAGCAGCCGCGGUAAUACGGAGGAUGCGAGCGUUAUCCGGAUUUCUUGGGUUUAAAGGGUGCGUAGGCGGCGAUAUAAGUCAGUGGUGAAAUAUUUCGGCUUAACCGAGAGACUGCCAUUGAUACUGUGUUGCUAGAAUAUGGUUGCUGUGAGUGGAAUGUGUGGUGUAGCGGUGAAAUGCUUAGAUAUCACACAGAAUAUCGAUUGCGAAGGCAGCUCACAAAGCCAUUAUUGACGCUGAGGCACGAAAGUGUGGGGAUCAAAC